GACGAACCGUGCGAACGUUAUUCGGAAUCACUGGGCUUAAAGGGCGCGUAGGCGGGCUCGCAGGUCAGGGGUGAAAGCCCACGGCUCAACCGUGGAAGUGCCUUUGAUACCGUGAGUCUCGAGGGAGGUAGGGGCGUGCGGAACUUCCGGUGGAGCGGUGAAAUGCGUAGAUAUCGGAAGGAACACCGGUGGCGAAAGCGGCGCGCUGGACCUCUUCUGACGCUGAGGCGCGAAAGCCAGGGGAGCGAACGGG
This 253-nucleotide ribosomal RNA is filed under the name uncultured bacterium. RNAcentral describes it as "partial 16S ribosomal RNA". It matches the Rfam family "Bacterial small subunit ribosomal RNA", at positions 524 to 776 of the family's 1533-position model. The record is from RNAcentral.